This 468-nucleotide ribosomal RNA is filed under the name uncultured bacterium. RNAcentral's name for it is "partial 16S ribosomal RNA". It matches the Rfam family "Bacterial small subunit ribosomal RNA", at positions 28 to 507 of the family's 1533-position model. The record is from RNAcentral.
GACGAACGCUGGCGGCGUGCUUAACACAUGCAAGUCGAACGGAAAGGCCCUGCUUUUGUGGGGUGCUCGAGUGGCGAACGGGUGAGUAACACGUGAGUAACCUGCCCUUGACUUUGGGAUAACUUCAGGAAACUGGGGCUAAUACCGGAUAGGAGCUCCUGCUGCACGGUGGGGGUUGGAAAGUUUCGGCGGUUGGGGAUGGACUCGCGGCUUAUCAGCUUGUUGGUGGGGUAGUGGCUUACCAAGGCUUUGACGGGUAGCCGGCCUGAGAGGGUGACCGGCCACAUUGGGACUGAGAUACGGCCCAGACUCCUACGGGAGGCAGCAGUGGGGAAUAUUGCACAAUGGGCGGAAGCCUGAUGCAGCAACGCCGCGUGCGUGAUGACGGCCUUCGAGUUGUAAACCGCUUUCGCCUGUGACGAAGCGUGAGUGACGGUAAUGGGUAAAGAAGCACCGGCUAACUACGUG